This 131-nucleotide small RNA is filed under the name Salmonella enterica subsp. enterica serovar Oranienburg. RNAcentral's name for it is "RtT sRNA". It matches the Rfam family "RtT RNA". From Rfam's summary of the family: This family represents a bacterial cis-regulatory element known as RtT RNA. The exact function of RtT is unknown although it is thought that it may be involved in changing the cellular response in relation to amino acid starvation. The record is from RNAcentral. Lineage: Bacteria; Pseudomonadati; Pseudomonadota; Gammaproteobacteria; Enterobacterales; Enterobacteriaceae. RNAcentral also lists the same sequence under 48 other names.
AUUCUACCCAUGCGGGGAAGGAUGAGAAGCUUCGACUAAGGUUCGAUUCGAGCGCAGCGAGAAAGCGUUGCCGCAGGCAACGACCCGAAGGGCGAAGCGCGCUGCGCUGAGUCAUCCUUCCCCCACCACCA